GGAGGCUGGUGCAGAAAAUGGUGUUUUGCAGUAUAAUUCUUCUUGUUGGUUUUUAGUCUAAAAUUAUAUUUUAGUUGAUUUACGAGUGUUCAUCCACUUACCAUACCAUGUUCAGUUUAUAUGUUUAUAUAUAUAUAUCGUAGGCAUUAACACCACUCCCCGAGUCGUCUCCUUUUGUAUGCUAGUUAUAGUGUCAUGACCUACUUUUGGAUUAGAGGUGAGCGACUUUAAAAUUCAUGUUGGAAACCUAAUUUGUUUUAUAUAUAUAUAUAUAUUAGGAACUGCAUGGAUUUAUAUAUGAAAUGAGUUAGAGACAUGAUAUGUUGCUCUUAAAUCAACAAGCAACCGUGAUGUACUAAAUGUACGUGGGAUUACCAAUGACUCAUUUUUAAUCAAGAACUCAAGCAUAUCUCGACCAGCUUUUAUACAAGUGUUUGGAUGUAAAAGCUGAUAGGGUUCCUAGUUCUAUAGGGAUUGAGAUUCAUUGUUCUGUUGCAUUAAGGAUCCACUUAGUGUUUCUUGAUGGGCAAGACACCUUGAGGAAUGCGUAUAAAUAGAGGGCUCCCUCCUCCUCAGUCGAUGAUAUACAACUCGUAAAGUAAUUCACCCCAGCUGAAACUUGAGACUAAGGCAUCGGCUCUAGGAGAAGAACUCUCUUCUGUUUACUUAGGCUUUUCAACUCCAUGGCUAGUGUUUGAUAUGUUUAUAGCUUAUGAAGUUCACAUACUUUCUCUCUUCUCCAAUGAUAUCG
RNAcentral lists this long non-coding RNA (751 nucleotides) under Prunus persica (peach). RNAcentral's name for it is "long non-coding RNA (PPER_LNC002673)". The record is from RNAcentral. Lineage: Eukaryota; Viridiplantae; Streptophyta; Magnoliopsida; Rosales; Rosaceae.